UUUUGAUAAAAAAUUUGUGACGUCUUGUAUAUGCACAUUGAAGAUAAGAUUAUCAAAAUUAAAAACAUAGUAAGUUACUUACUUAUUAGAAUUACAUCAUAUCCUGACCAUUGAAGCAAUUCAAUUUAAAAAUCGGAACACAUUGCGAGAGUCAGCCGUUCAAUUGCUAUUUCCGUUGGAUAUAUAUCACAGUUACAUACUCAUGCAUCAUUUUUUAUGCAGGCCACUGCAACGUGCAUCGUCCGUGCCGGCAACGAGCAAGAGCUUAUUUCUUUCAGAGAGCACACAGAAUAGGAGGCAGAUGAAGAGAGAGAAAGAGUGAGAGAAUGGGGGGAAAUAGAUGUGAGAAUAAAAAAAUUUAAGAAUGAGAGUUAGGAGAGAGAGAGAGAAAGAGAGAGAGAGAGAGA
This is a long non-coding RNA of Acromyrmex echinatior (Panamanian leafcutter ant), 407 nucleotides long. Lineage: Eukaryota; Metazoa; Arthropoda; Insecta; Hymenoptera; Formicidae. The record is from RefSeq and is a predicted model, not a curated record.